GAUGAACGCUGGCGGCGUGCCUAAUACAUGCAAGUCGAGCGAACAGACGAGGAGCUUGCUCCUCUGACGUUAGCGGCGGACGGGUGAGUAACACGUGGAUAACCUACCUAUAAGACUGGGAUAACUUCGGGAAACCGGAGCUAAUACCGGAUAAUAUAUUGAACCGCAUGGUUCAAUAGUGAAAGACGGUUUUGCUGUCACUUAUAGAUGGAUCCGCGCCGCAUUAGCUAGUUGGUAAGGUAACGGCUUACCAAGGCAACGAUGCGUAGCCGACCUGAGAGGGUGAUCGGCCACACUGGUACUGAGACACGGUCCAGACUCCUACGGGAGGCAGCAGUAGGGAAUAUUCCGCAAUGGGCGAAAGCCUGACGGAGCAACGCCGCGUGAGUGAUGAAGGUCUUCGGAUCGUAAAACUCUGUUAUUAGGGAAGAACAAAUGUGUAAGUAACUAUGCACGUCUUGACGGUACCUAAUCAGAAAGCCACGGCUAACUACGUG
This 497-nucleotide ribosomal RNA is filed under the name uncultured bacterium. Its description in RNAcentral is "partial 16S ribosomal RNA". It matches the Rfam family "Bacterial small subunit ribosomal RNA", at positions 28 to 507 of the family's 1533-position model. The record is from RNAcentral.